Molecule: ribosomal RNA, 193 nt
Filed under: uncultured bacterium
Lineage: Bacteria
Description: partial 16S ribosomal RNA
Rfam family: Bacterial small subunit ribosomal RNA
Source: RNAcentral
ACGCUCGACACCUACGGGGGCAGCAGUGGGGAAUAUUGCACAAUGGGGGAAACCCUGAUGCAGCGACGCCGCGUGAAGGAAGAAGUAUCUCGGUAUGUAAACUUCUAUCAGCAGGGAAGAAAAUGACGGUACCUGACUAAGAAGCCCCGGCUAACUACGUGCCNNNCGCCGUAGUAUGNGCGGCGNGNGAGAG